AACGAACGCUGGCGGCAUGCCUAACACAUGCAAGUCGAACGAGACCUUCGGGUCUAGUGGCGCACGGGUGCGUAACGCGUGGGAACCUGCCCUUAGGUUCGGCAUAACUCCCCGAAAGGGGUGCUAAUACCGGAUAAUGUCUUCGGACCAAAGAUUUAUCGCCUUUGGAUGGGCCCGCGUUGGAUUAGCUAGUUGGUAGGGUAAAAGCCUACCAAGGCGACGAUCCAUAGCUGGUCUGAGAGGAUGAUCAGCCACACUGGGACUGAGACACGGCCCAGACUCCUACGGGAGGCAGGAGUGGGGAAUAGUGGAAAAUGGGCGAAAGCAUGAUCCAGCAAGGACGGGUGAGUGAUGAAGGCCUGAGGGUUGUAAAGCUCUUUUAACCGGGAUGAUAAUGACAGUACCGGGAGAAUAAGCGCCGGCUAACUCCGUG
This 433-nucleotide ribosomal RNA is filed under the name uncultured bacterium. RNAcentral's name for it is "partial 16S ribosomal RNA". It matches the Rfam family "Bacterial small subunit ribosomal RNA", at positions 29 to 507 of the family's 1533-position model. The record is from RNAcentral.